CCUGGCCUGCUGUGUCCUGCCCUGAAACCCACCUCAUCCUGAGAACACCUCACGACUGCCCACUCCCCCUCCCCUGGUCAGGCUCCCUGCUGCCUUGGAGGGCUUGGCAGAAAGGACACCUGCUUGGACCCAGAGAAAGCCGGCCUCAGACCAGCGGCCUGUCCCCUUGCUGUGGUGCGCGAGGGCCUCGAGCCCAUUGCAGUGCGGGGAGGUUUGGCCCACUCCAGAAGAGGCUUUCACUUCCUUGUAAAAGAGGAACUCAACAAAGGAGCAGGACCAGGGACAUCAGCCUCCACUCCUCUGCGUGGGGGGCGACCUUCAGUUGUGCCAUGGAGGAACAGAAGUGGGAGGAAGUUCAGCAGACACUUUCCUGAGUGCCGGCAGUGGGUGGGCCUCAGACCCCUACCUCCAGGCCCGCAGGUAGGUAACGCACCAGGCCUAGUGCUGAGUCUGUGCUGCCCGCCAGCCGCCGGCCACGUGUGAGCGCAGAGCCUCCCUGCCUCUCUGUCCUACAGACAAUGAGUCACUCACCCCUUCCUACAAAAACAUUGACUAGCAAAUUUGUUUUCCUGCUCUCCAAGAGGCUGUUUCACACCUUCUCUCUCUGCAAAGACCACCCACCACCACCACCACCCCGCCUCCCAGCCUGCCUUGAGGACUCUGCUGCUGAUGUCCCUGAGAGAGUGGAAGCAACCAGAUGAG
RNAcentral lists this long non-coding RNA (702 nucleotides) under Equus caballus (horse). RNAcentral describes it as "lncRNA (ENSECAG00000045454.1)". Lineage: Eukaryota; Metazoa; Chordata; Mammalia; Perissodactyla; Equidae. The record is from RNAcentral.